GUCAGGAUGAACGCUAGCGGCAGGCCUAAUACAUGCAAGUCGGACGGGAGUCCCCCUCGGGGGGACGAGAGUGGCGGACGGGUGCGCAACGCGUAUGCAACCCACCCGACCCGGGGCAUAGCCGGUGGAAACGCCGGGUAAUGCGCCAUGAGCCGCGCAGGGGGCAUCCCCCGCGUGGCAAAGCGAGAGCGGGACGGACGGGCAUGCGUCCCAUUAGCUUGUGGCGGGUGAAGGCCCACCAAGGCGACGAUGGGUAGGGGAUCUGAGAGGACGGUCCCCCCACACUGGUACUGAGACACGGACCAGACUCCUGCGGGAGGCAGCAGUAAGGGAUAUUGGUCAAUGGGCGGAAGCCUGAACCAGCCAUGCCGCGUGAGGGAAUGAGGCCCUACGGGUCGUGAACCUCUUUUGUCCAGGGACAAGGACAUCCACGCGAUGGGUGUUUGAGGGUACUGGAAGAAUAAGCGUCGGCUAACUCCGUGCCAGCAGCGGC
RNAcentral lists this ribosomal RNA (493 nucleotides) under uncultured bacterium. RNAcentral's name for it is "bacterial SSU rRNA". It matches the Rfam family "Bacterial small subunit ribosomal RNA", at positions 23 to 518 of the family's 1533-position model. The record is from RNAcentral.